This 497-nucleotide ribosomal RNA is filed under the name uncultured bacterium. RNAcentral describes it as "partial 16S ribosomal RNA". It matches the Rfam family "Bacterial small subunit ribosomal RNA", at positions 28 to 507 of the family's 1533-position model. The record is from RNAcentral.
GAUGAACGCUGGCGGCGUGCCUAAUACAUGCAAGUCGAGCGAACGGACGAGAAGCUUGCUUCUCUGAUGUUAGCGGCGGACGGGUGAGUAACACGUGGAUAACCUACCUAUAAGACUGGGAUAACUUCGGGAAACCGGAGCUAAUACCGGAUAAUAUUUUUAACCGCAUUGUUCAAAAGUGAAAGACGUUCUUGCUGUCACUUAUAGAUGGAUCCUCGCUGCAUUAGCUAGUUGGUAAGGUAACGGCUUUCCAAGGCAACGAUGCAUAGCCGACCUGAGAGGGUGAUCGGCCACACUGGAACUGAGACACGGUCCAGACUCCUACGGGAGGCAGCGGCAGGGAAUCUUCCGCAAUGGGCGAAAGCCUGACGGAGCAACGCCGCGUGAGUGAUGAAGGUCUUCGGAUCGUAAAACUCUGUUAUUAGGGAAGAACAUAUGUGUAAGUAACUGUGCACAUCUUGACGGUACCUAAUCAGAAAGCCACGGCUAACUACGUG